GUCGAGAAUCUUUCGCAAUGGGCGCAAGCCUGACGAAGCGACGCCGUGUGAACGAAGAAGGCCUUCGGGUUGUAAAGUUCUUUCGCCUAAGAACAAGAGAGGUAGGUUAACACCCUAUUAAUUUGAUGGUACUAGGUAAAGAAGCACCGGCUAACUCCGUGCCAGCAGCUGCGGUAAUACGGAGGGUGCAAGCAUUGAUCGGAAUUACUGGGCGUAAAGGGCGCGUAGGCGGCCAAGUAAGUCAGAUGUGAAAUUCCGGGGCUCAACCCCGGAGCUGCAUUUGAAACUGCUUAGCUAGAGUGCAGUUAGGGUAAACGGAAUUCCACGUGUAGCGGUGAAAUGCGUAGAUAUGUGGAAGAACACCGGUGGUGAAGACGGUUUACUGGGCUGUUUCUGACGCUGAGGCGCGAAAGCAUGGGUAGCAAACAGG
This 430-nucleotide ribosomal RNA is filed under the name uncultured bacterium. RNAcentral's name for it is "bacterial SSU rRNA". It matches the Rfam family "Bacterial small subunit ribosomal RNA", at positions 354 to 776 of the family's 1533-position model. The record is from RNAcentral.